ACCGUACGUAGCAGAGCAUCAGUUUCAUAAACAAGUCCAUACGUACUACUUCACCUUCAAGCAGCAGCAGCAGCCAUGGCAGCACCCACCGUCGUCUCCUUGCUCGCCAUGGCCGUGGUGGCGAUAGCAGCGCUUCAAGCUACGGCUGCCGGUCCGCCGCCACCGCCACCGUACGGCAGGCCGACGAACUGUGUUCAGACGUUAUACGAGGUCAGCAGCUGCGCUCCGUUCCUGUCGACCGGAACGGUUAUCUCUGGCCCUCCGGCGAGCUGCUGCGCGCCCCUGAGGGCGGUUCUCAGGACGCCGGCAUCCAUCUGCCUCUGCCACGCCAUUGGCGGCGAGAUCAACGAGCUCUUGCGCAUUAACAUCGACCCCAUCCGACUCGCCUUGCUGCCUGUUGCCUGCUGGGCGAUCGUGCCGCCUCAGCUCCCUGCCAUGUGUUUCGUUGGACCUGUGCCACCCAUAUUCAACAUCCCGACUAUGUCUCCGUCGCCGCCGGUGACUCCUCCGCCACCUAUGCCUCCGGCGUCGCCGAUGAGGCCUCCGCCCUGGGCCUCGACGCCUCCUGGCCACAUAUAGGCCUACUAGGCCUCAACGCCUCGUCUAGACGUCUACCUCAUCCAUCCACAACGACCAGCUUGGCCAAACGCCUUGCUUCGGAUGUUUUACUUCUGAAGUACUAUUCAGGGAACCCACUGGCUAAGGUUUGGGCUCAACUCCAAAGAAAUGAAGACGAUGCUGAAGCCAUUAGAAGCCCUUGCAGGAAAUUGGAAACGGUGGCCAUGCAGAUUUUGCUUAUUUUGGUUGGAAGUUCUCAAAUAGGAUUUCAUGCUAGUAUUCCUUGACUGUAUCCUAGUUUGUUGUGGAGGUUUGUCCCUCCAGUUUGGUGUAGCAGUGUUUGCUAGGUUUCUUUGUUGGUCAUAGCCUCCUAGGAGGUGAAGGCUGGACUUCUUUUGUUCCAUUAUCAAAAAAAUAUAUUUAGAGGUGGAUUUAGAUAAUAUUGUUAAAAGCAGUGGCAGAACU
This is an RNA transcript of Zea mays, 1023 nucleotides long. RefSeq lists it as uncharacterized. The record is from RefSeq and is marked validated. NCBI's taxonomy places the organism in Eukaryota, Viridiplantae, Streptophyta, Magnoliopsida, Poales, Poaceae. The transcript is spliced from 3 exons.